This 432-nucleotide ribosomal RNA is filed under the name uncultured bacterium. RNAcentral's name for it is "partial 16S ribosomal RNA". It matches the Rfam family "Bacterial small subunit ribosomal RNA", at positions 29 to 507 of the family's 1533-position model. The record is from RNAcentral.
ACGAACGCUGGCGGCAUGCCUAACACAUGCAAGUCGAACGAGACCUUCGGGUCUAGUGGCGCACGGGUGCGUAACGCGUGGGAACCUGCCCUUAGGUUCGGAAUAACUCCCCGAAAGGGGUGCUAAUACCGGAUAAUGUCUUCGGACCAAAGAUUUAUCGCCUUUGGAUGGGCCCGCGUUGGAUUAGCUAGUUGGUAGGGUAAAAGCCUACCAGGGCGACGAUCCAUAGCUGGUCUGAGAGGAUGAUCAGCCACACUGGGACUGAGACACGGCCCAGACUCCUACGGGAGGCAGCAGUGGGGAAUAUUGGACAAUGGGCGAAAGCCUGAUCCAGCAAUGCCGCGUGAGUGAUGAAGGCCUUAGGGUUGUAAAGCUCUUUUACCCGGGAUGAUAAUGACAGUACCGGGAGAAUAAGCUCCGGCUAACUCCGUG